Ictalurus punctatus (channel catfish) is the source of this 268-nucleotide long non-coding RNA. RefSeq lists it as uncharacterized. The transcript has 3 exons. Lineage: Eukaryota; Metazoa; Chordata; Actinopteri; Siluriformes; Ictaluridae. The record is from RefSeq and is a predicted model, not a curated record.
CAGACACGUCCUAUGCAGUCAACUUGACAUUCAGCAUCAGUAACAUUAGCAUGUCUAAGAACCCUGACCUCAGGAACCACACCUACACCCAAGUGGAGAACAUCAUCAAUAACGCUCUAAACACGCUUCUAAAUGACGCUGGUGCAGAACCAUUCGAACCCCAGAGCUCUUUCUUCACGAGUUCAGGAAAGCAGGUUAAUGGUGAUAUGAAGUACUACUUCCAAGAUGGAGACACCAAAACACCAGUAGCCUUCAAGAAUGAGCUAAC